Molecule: microRNA precursor, 238 nt
Filed under: Glycine max (soybean)
Lineage: Eukaryota; Viridiplantae; Streptophyta; Magnoliopsida; Fabales; Fabaceae
Description: miR5776 stem-loop (gma-MIR5776)
Source: miRBase by way of RNAcentral
GUGGAUUGUUAACUUGGGCUGAGCUUAGGUGAGUGUUGACCGUGGUGUGCUCUAAGCAAACCUAGAUUCAAGGUCUUUGGAGUUCAGCUUACCCUCUGGCAAGGUUGAGACACCAUGGGGGAUGGGUGUGUACCUGCAAAAAAGACACUCAGACUCUCAGUCAUUAAGGAAUCUACCAGCGUCAAUAUAGAAUCCCGGUCAACACCCACCGGAGUUCAAUUCAAGUCAAUAGUUCACC